UGGUGGAGUGAUUUGUCUGGUUAAUUCCGUUAACGAACGAGACCUCGGCCUGCUAAAUAGUCGGCGUCACUCCUUUCGGGGUGGCGUCCUCCGACUUCUUAGAGGGACCAUCGGUGCUUAGCCGAAGGAAGUUCGAGGCAAUAACA
This 146-nucleotide ribosomal RNA is filed under the name uncultured eukaryote. RNAcentral's name for it is "partial 18S ribosomal RNA". It matches the Rfam family "Eukaryotic small subunit ribosomal RNA", at positions 1299 to 1458 of the family's 1831-position model. The record is from RNAcentral.